RNAcentral lists this ribosomal RNA (518 nucleotides) under Elassochirus cavimanus. Its description in RNAcentral is "partial 16S ribosomal RNA". It matches the Rfam family "Bacterial large subunit ribosomal RNA", at positions 1834 to 2603 of the family's 2925-position model. Lineage: Eukaryota; Metazoa; Arthropoda; Malacostraca; Decapoda; Paguridae. The record is from RNAcentral.
UAUAUGAAGGUGCAUAUAGUUUAACCUGCUCACUGAUUAUAUUAAAGAGCCGCAGUAUUCUGACUGUGCGAAGGUAGCAUAAUAAAUUGUCUUUUAAAUGAAGGCUUGAAUGAAAGGUUGGACAAAGUAUCAUCUGUUUCUUAAAUAUUUAUUGAAUUUGACUUUCAAGUGAAAAGGCUUGAAUAAAUUAAAAAGACGAUAAGACCCUAUAAAUCUUUACAAUAAACAUGUUCUAUAUUUUAAUUUAUAAUUGUAUAAAAUAUUAAAUUUGUAAUUGUUUCGCUGGGGCGGCGUAGAUAUAUAAAUAAACUGUCUAUUUAUUAAAUCCAGUAAUUAUUGAUUAAUAAAAUUGAUCCUUGAAUAGAUUAAAAGAUUAAGAUACUUUAGGGAUAACAGCGUUAUUUUUUUUGAGAGUUCCUAUCGAAGAAAAAGUUUGCGACCUCGAUGUUGAAUUAAAGUUUCUCUAUGGUGCAGCCGCUAUAAGAGAAAGUCUGUUCGACUUUUAAUACUUUACGUGA